This 301-nucleotide ribosomal RNA is filed under the name uncultured bacterium. RNAcentral's name for it is "partial 16S ribosomal RNA". It matches the Rfam family "Bacterial small subunit ribosomal RNA", at positions 509 to 807 of the family's 1533-position model. The record is from RNAcentral.
CAGCCGCCGCGGGAAUACAGAGGGUGCGAGCGUUAAUCGGAUUUACUGGGCGUAAAGCGUGCGUAGGCGGCUUCUUAAGUCGGAUGUGAAAUCCCUGAGCUUAACUUAGGAAUUGCAUUCGAUACUGGGAAGCUAGAGUAUGGGAGAGGAUGGUAGAAUUCCAGGUGUAGCGGUGAAAUGCGUAGAGAUCUGGAGGAAUACCGAUGGCGAAGGCAGCCAUCUGGCCUAAUACUGACGCUGAGGUACGAAAGCAUGGGGAGCAAACAGGAUUAGAUACCCCCGUAGUCCCUGUAUCUUAUAC